UACGUAGGGUGCGAGCGUUGUCCGGAGUUACUGGGCGUAAAGCGCGCGCAGGCGGCUCGUCAAGCCUGACGUGAAAGCCCCCGGCUCAACCGGGGAGGGUCGUCGGGGACUGGCGGGCUUGAGGUCGGCAGGGGUUGGUGGAAUUCCCGGUGUAGUGGUGAAAUGCGUAGAGAUCGGGAGGAACACCCGUGGCGAAGGCGGCCAACUGGGCCGGACCUGACGCUGAGGCGCGAAGGCGUGGGGAGCGAACAGG
This 253-nucleotide ribosomal RNA is filed under the name uncultured bacterium. RNAcentral describes it as "partial 16S ribosomal RNA". It matches the Rfam family "Bacterial small subunit ribosomal RNA", at positions 524 to 776 of the family's 1533-position model. The record is from RNAcentral.